CCUACGGUGUGCAGCAGUGAGGAAUAUUGGUCAAUGGGCGGGAGCCUGAACCAGCCAAGCCGCGUGAGGGAAGAAGGUACAGCGUAUCGUAAACCUCUUUUGUCAGGGAACAAAGGCGGGGACUAGUCCCCGGAUGAGGGUACCUGAAGAAAAAGCAUCGGCCAACUCCGUGCCAGCAGCCGCGGUAAUACGGAGGAGGCGAGCGUUAUCCGGAUUGAGUGGGGUAAAAGGGUGCGCAGGGGGCCGGUUAAGUCAGCGGUAAAAGCCCGGGGCUCAACCCCGGCGAGCCGUUGAAACUGGCGGGCUGGAGUUGGAGAGAAGUACAGGGAAUGCGCGGUGUAGCGGUGAAAUGCUUAGAUAUCGCGCAGAACCCCGAUUGCGAAGGCAGCGUACCGGCUCCACACUGACGCUGAGGCACGAAAGCGUGGGUAUCGAACAGGAUUAGAUACCCGGGUAGUC
RNAcentral lists this ribosomal RNA (459 nucleotides) under uncultured bacterium. RNAcentral describes it as "partial 16S ribosomal RNA". It matches the Rfam family "Bacterial small subunit ribosomal RNA", at positions 338 to 795 of the family's 1533-position model. The record is from RNAcentral.